AUGAACUUUGGCCUGGCUUCGCUUUGCAAAAGGCAAGCCGGCUAUCUUCAUAUUCCACACACACUUGUGCACUUUCGACGGUCCGCAAGGACUGUUGGAAAACUCUUGUGAUGUUAAACAACGUCUAGGAUGUUCAUAUCCAUUUGAAAAAUGUAAUGAA
This 160-nucleotide unclassified non-coding RNA is filed under the name uncultured fungus. Its description in RNAcentral is "sequence contains ITS1". The record is from RNAcentral. Lineage: Eukaryota; Fungi.